AGUCCCAGUCGCGUCGCAUAAGGCGAGGGCGGAGUAGUCGAUAAAAACACAGCCAUAUUCAAUCAGCUGCUCCUAUUUCGAUUUUUCUUCGAAAAUUAUAGAGAAAAGACUGAUAUUUUCUAGUCAAAAUCUCUUUCAAUAUAUGAAGAUGUUACGAAUGUAAAUACGAAUCGAAAAACGCUCUCGUUGGGGGAGUUUUCCUUCUCAAAUUCGUCAUUUUUCGCAUUGUAACUAAAGGUAAGAAAAAUCAAAUUCUUUGUUUAUUGUAUAUCUCUUUGUAACCGUCACGCGUGUUGUUUAUGGGUUACACUAAGGACAUAAGGGUUAUUUGGCGCAAUAUUCCUAACAAUUCUCUUUAGAAAUUAGCCAUUAUUGAUUUUUACGAUGGGGGAGCGCCAACAAAAAUCAAUUAGAAAAACAAAUAGGCCGUAAGCCAUGAGCAUUUCAUCACUUAUGAUAGAGAAUUUAUUUAUUACGAGAACUUCAAACAACCCUUCACUUAUGUUAUACCUAUUCAAAUUUUAACCAUGAAACGGCCUAACUCGGUACGUUAUUCAGUCUUUAAAUUUUUGAAUAAACAACCAACAACGCCCUCAAAAACAUAUAGAAUAAGAAAACUCGGCCGUUAAAAUCAGAUUUCCUAAGAAAAGUGGUUUUUUACGAAAUAUUUAAUCUUAUCGAAGAUAAACCAAAUUUUUACCAACAAUCGAUGACUAUUCUGACGUCAGAAUUUUCAGUAUUACAAAAACAGAUUACACUUAGUUGUACGGUAGGCCUUAACAACAGCUGACGUAAAUCGUUAAAUAUCGUUUCGGCCUUCUAGAGCUAGAAUGUGUGUUUGAAAAUGUGUGAAUAAGCUAAGGAUUUUGUUUUCUAGAAGAGAGAUGGAGCGCCAGCAGCGCAGGGACAAUCACAUUAUGGAAAAACUCAUUCCAUUACUUCAUUCCCUAGCUGAAAAAGAAGAACGUGUUUGGCAGCCUGUAUUCUAUCCGACAAUGGAUAAUAAAGGCUAUGUGACUGGUAUUAAGAGAGAUGAGGGUGUACAACUUAUGAUCUGCAUGAACCAAGCGUUCAAUUUAUUGCCAGAAUCGCUUUCAUUGGGAAUUUCUCUGCUCGAUAAAUUCUUAUCUGCUUGCAAGGUACAGGAAAAGUACAUAAAUGUGGUAUCGAUAAGUUGUUGGUUCGUCGCAGUCAAAGCUGUUGAGGAAUCACACCCUACUGCCUACGAAGUAGUCCAGCAGGCUCGCGGAAUCAUCACUAAAGCCGAACUAUUACGAAUGGAGCGCAUUGUCUUGCGUAAACUCGACUAUGACACUCGUUCUGUUUGUAGCGUUGAAGUGCUGCAUGUGUUACACUCUCUUCUUCGUACCGCACCCUCAUCAGAAACUUGCCAUUCUAAUAAUUUGAAGGCGAUGACCGUGCAGCUCCUGAAGUGCCUUUCUUGGCAUGCUUUGGGGGCCACCGUUAAACCUUCUCUUCUGGCUUUAUCUGUUAUCACCGUUCAUUUGGAAAUGGUAUCCAGUUAUUGGGAAAGCAUGGCUAAACGCUUUUGUUUAAUUUUAAACGCCGAUAUGGAAUAUUUAAUUGGUCUCAAUGAGCAAGUUGGCCAAUUUAUAGCUUCCUGCUACGAACAAAUCAAACCUGAAAGGGGUCCAACUCCAAUGGAUCAUUAUGCUAUUGAAUAAAAAGGUUUCUCCACACUGGUAUACCGUUAUUUUAUCGCAUAGCUCUGACUGUUGAUUUUCAAAAAAAAAUUCUUUUAUCAUUUUUGUUCUGAGUAUCAGCCGUAUUUAGUUAUUCGUGCACAUAUUAUAUACUCUGUGAUCGGUACCCGUCUUGCGUAUGACUGAAACGCUAAGGAUAUCCUCAAGUAUUCUCUGAGAUUUCUCUGGUGAAAAAAAAAACUGUUACGUUUAUACUGGUCAUAUAUCUGCACAUUCAUUUUCUCUACUAUUAAAGAAGUGAAAGCGGAUUGUUCGCGGACAAAAUUUCAAUGGGUGCUUACAAAAACAAAAAAAAAAACUGUAUCUGUGUUUUUCAGUUAAUGACGAAGUAGUUACUGCAAAGACUAACCCACCAGUGUUAACGUCUAUUUUAUUCAACAUGUAUUAAAAGCUGUGUUCAAUGUAAUAGAAAUAAAUAGUUUAAGUAUCAUUUAACAGUUUUAAGAUGCGGUGUUAAAAAAAAGUGAAUUAUUUAUUGUAUUAUUUUAUUGAAAUAAAACUUUAUGAAAUCGAAAAAA
RNAcentral lists this unclassified non-coding RNA (2242 nucleotides) under Dimorphilus gyrociliatus. RNAcentral's name for it is "cYCLIN domain-containing protein". Lineage: Eukaryota; Metazoa; Annelida; Polychaeta; Dinophilidae. The record is from RNAcentral.